AUUGAACGCUGGCGGCAGGCCUAACACAUGCAAGUCGAGCGGAUGAAGGGAGCUUGCUCCUGGAUUCAGCGGCGGACGGGUGAGUAAUGCCUAGGAAUCUGCCUGGUAGUGGGGGAUAACGUCCGGAAACGGGCGCUAAUACCGCAUACGUCCUGAGGGAGAAAGUGGGGGAUCUUCGGACCUCACGCUCUCAGAUGAGCCUAGGUCGGAUUAGCUAGUUGGUGGGGUAAAGGCCUACCAAGGCGACGAUCCGUAACUGGUCUGAGAGGAUGAUCAGUCACACUGGAACUGAGACACGGUCCAGACUCCUACGGGAGGCAGCAGUGGGGAAUAUUGGACAAUGGGCGAAAGCCUGAUCCAGCCAUGCCGCGUGUGUGAAGAAGGUCUUCGGAUUGUAAAGCACUUUAAGUGGGGAGGAAGGGCAGUAAGUUAAUACCUUGCUGUUUUGACGUUACCAACAGAAUAAGCACCGGCUAACUUCGUG
Molecule: ribosomal RNA, 484 nt
Filed under: uncultured bacterium
Lineage: Bacteria
Description: partial 16S ribosomal RNA
Rfam family: Bacterial small subunit ribosomal RNA
Source: RNAcentral